This is a non-coding RNA of Benincasa hispida (wax gourd), 2631 nucleotides long. NCBI's taxonomy places the organism in Eukaryota, Viridiplantae, Streptophyta, Magnoliopsida, Cucurbitales, Cucurbitaceae. The record is from RefSeq and is a predicted model, not a curated record.
CUUAGGAAAAACUAUAACUGCUUUUAUCGCAAGCUUGGAUUUAAGAAUUUUCGGUUCUAUUAACUCACUUCCUGCAUUAAUUCCUCUGCUUCGCUUUAGUUUGGAGCAUUUUCGUUCGUCAAUUCCAUGCCACUGUUGAUACCGAUAGUGCGCAAAAUCUGGAAUUCUUGACGGAAAGUAAGCAUGCUUGAUUAGUUAGAUGAUGUUUGGGCUGCUGUUGUAAAAUGUUUCUAGGUUGAAUGAAUGGAUCAUCGAGGAACUUCAACUCCAUGUAUAAUCGAGUUUCACAGUUGAAUAUGUUACAUGUGCACAUUGCGCUAGAUAUUGGUUGUCAAUAUACUAGUCAUGGAGCUCAUUUGACAUCUUUGAAAGUUUGCAUUGGGGAAUAUGAGGAAUCAAAUAGUCAAGUUCAGCUGGCUCUUGAGAGAGGUCUUCCAGCAAUGAUUGGCAACUUCGGUACAAGACAGCCUCCAUAUCCAUCACUAUCAUUUGACAUGAUUCAUUGUAGUCAGUGUGCUUCCAGUAAGAACAUGAUAGGUACUUGAAGACACUGAAACCAACCCCCUCCUAUAACAAAUAAAAUAAAAAAGAGAGGAAAAAAAUGGAUAUUUUAGUUUCCCUUGUAUGUGUAUUGUAAAACGUAUAAUUGUGCAAUAACUUUUGAAAUUCCUGAUUGAAGUAAACCGUCUACUCAAGCCUGGCGGAUAUUUUGUCAUGCCUUCACCCAGCAGCCGAGCAGCAACUAGGUGGAAAGGAAGAUACACCUCAAAAAUGAUUGAAAUGCUAGAAUAUUGUUGGAAACUUCAAGGUUGGUUGUGUGGCAGAAAUCAACCGAUGCUAACUGCUAUCUGUCACGUUAAGGAUCCUCCUCAGAACUAACUACUUAUUUCAGGCUAACUAUUUACGUUUUUAAGCUUUUUUUUGUUCCGUCUCUGUUGUUCGAUAUGAACACUGUAGUUAGAAGUCUAAACAAAAUUGUUGAACCGAUUUGCUGAUUCUCCUUUUGCAGGAAGAGAGAGUCCAUACCUCUGUGUCGAAUGGAAGAUGACAAUCAAACGUAUUAUAAGCCCCUCACAUCAUGUUUGGUUGGACCAACCAACAAACAGGCCUGAGCCUUUUCCCACUUACCCAAGAACAUACGAUAUGCUGCACGCAAACGGGCUCCUUUCACUAAGCAAAUCAAAGAGGCGCAGUUUGACAGACUUAUUAUUGGAGAUGGAUAGAAUACUACGUCCUGAGGUAAUUCAAUUGAAUCUCUCUGUAAUUAUAAUUGCAAUGUAUAAAGUAUAUUGUUCUUCUCUGCCUUGGAAGCUACAAAUGAUAUAUUUUCUUUUCUAAUAAUCUUAAUUUACCUUUCAGGUUGGGUAAUUUUCAAUGAUACGGCAGAAGUUAUCGAGAUGGCUCGCACGAUUGCAAUUCAAAUGCGAGGGUGAUUGACCUUCAAAAUGGCAGCGAGGAGAAGCUACUCAUCUGCGAAAAACCAUUUCUGAAAAGAUGAUUUUGUUUCACAUGGUUGAAUCAGUCCCGGUAAGCAUAUGAAGCUCUGCAUAUAGCUUCUAUUGGCUGGCAGUUCCAUCUGGUACAGUCAAAAGUAUGAAAGCAUCUCUAAAGAUAAUUUAUCAUCACAUCACAACAAAAAAGAAAAACAAAUUGGAUCUAUCACAAUGAUUGCCUUCAUACAAAAACAAUUACUUGAAAAUACGUCAAAAAGAUACAAAUGCCUAAAAUUUAUUUAUUACUGAAAGAUAAGAGUUGAUCCUAAGUAUUAUUUGUAAGCUAAGGCACGUUGUAUUAUUAAAAAAACUGUCGAACUUUUCAUUGUUUUUAAUUCUUCGAAGACAUUUGUAAUAUUGUGCUAAUCAUCUCAACAUCCUGUAGGAGGUAAAAUCUGAUUAGCCUAAUUGGUUCUGGUAUAUUUACUGCUUCUUACUAUUCACAGGGGCAGGAAUCAAUUUGACUUCAGGUUCAAGGUGAUGUAGUUCUGAAGAAUAGUAGAGGCAAAUUUGUUGUGUAGGGUUAGAGUUUCUUCCAUGGCAGCAAAGCCAAAAUUUUUGUCCAAUUUUGUCCAGGCAUUUCUUGAGAUUCAUUGAUUCUCCCCUCAAAAGGGGAAAUCGUUUUUUAUGAAUUUUUUCCCCUCUGUACAGAGUUAUUAAUGUGAAAAUAUAGAAUAGGAAAAACAGGCACCAAAGCCAUAGUGGAUUUUUUAUCCUUCUUCUCUGUGAGAGUGUUGUACAGAUAAAAUGUAAAACUCAAACUAACAUCAUUCAAAGACCUUUUAGGCAUUGGCAGUGCCUCUACCUCUAUUUGAACGUGAGAAUUUCAACAUAAAUUGUGCAGAAUGGAACUGAAUAUCCUCAACAGGUCUAGGGCGUGUUAGGAGUGAUUUUGACAUGGUUGAUGUCACUUUCUGCCAUGUUUAAAGGAUACUUUUGUCAUAUUUAAAAUCGCUAUGAAACAUGUUCUUUAAUCAUUCAAAAUCAAUUUAAUUUAUGAUUUACAUGUUCAAACAUGUUUCAUACCAUCAAAGUUGAUUUAGAAUCAUCAAAAGCAGUUCCAGAGUGAUUUUAAAAAUGACAAAAAUGUCUAACUAUUUGGAAACCACUCUCGAACAUGAAAAAAAAAAAAAAAAAA